RNAcentral lists this long non-coding RNA (386 nucleotides) under Vigna radiata. RNAcentral describes it as "long non-coding RNA (VRAD_LNC004126)". Lineage: Eukaryota; Viridiplantae; Streptophyta; Magnoliopsida; Fabales; Fabaceae. The record is from RNAcentral.
CAGUGAUAAUAAAACAAUAGGUAAAUGAAAGAGCAAUAAAUGCAUGUAGUGAUCAAUCUUAACAAAUAAAAUUAAAAGAAUAAAGAAAAGAAAACCGGCGUAAGGCUUUGAUGAAAAGGGGUUACCGCGGGGCGGAUUUCACAGCAGCAAGUGAAAACUCUUGGAGCUCCGUACACUAUUAUUCGCCUCGUACCUCAGAUGUUUCCUCUUUCCCGUGUGGCUGGCCUUUUUCGUUUCUCGUUCUUCUUGAAAAAAAAACCUCUUUCUUUCCCUAGAAGUCUCUCCUUCUUUUUUUCUUUGUUCCCUUAUGUUCUCUUUUCGAAAUUGAAUUUUUUCUCUGUUUUUUUUUUAUGUUCCCUUAUGCUCUCCACUUCUUGAAAUUCAAU